RNAcentral lists this ribosomal RNA (545 nucleotides) under Alternaria tenuissima. RNAcentral describes it as "eukaryotic LSU rRNA". Lineage: Eukaryota; Fungi; Ascomycota; Dothideomycetes; Pleosporales; Pleosporaceae. The record is from RNAcentral.
UAWWWKGGARGCGGGCUGGACCUCUCGGGGUUACAGCCUUGCUGAAUUAUUCACCCUUGUCUUUUGCGUACUUCUUGUUUCCUUGGUGGGUUCGCCCACCACUAGGACAAACAUAAACCUUUUGUAAUUGCAAUCAGCGUCAGUAACAAAUUAAUAAUUACAACUUUCAACAACGGAUCUCUUGGUUCUGGCAUCGAUGAAGAACGCAGCGAAAUGCGAUAAGUAGUGUGAAUUGCAGAAUUCAGUGAAUCAUCGAAUCUUUGAACGCACAUUGCGCCCUUUGGUAUUCCAAAGGGCAUGCCUGUUCGAGCGUCAUUUGUACCCUCAAGCUUUGCUUGGUGUUGGGCGUCUUGUCUCUAGCUUUGCUGGAGACUCGCCUUAAAGUAAUUGGCAGCCGGCCUACUGGUUUCGGAGCGCAGCACAAGUCGCACUCUCUAUCAGCAAAGGUCUAGCAUCCAUUAAGCCUUUUUUUCAACUUUUGACCUCGGAUCAGGUAGGGAUACCCGCUGAACUUAAGCAUAUCAAUAAGCGGAGGAACAAACAAA